GGCUUAGUGGCUUAGUGGUUAGUACAUGUGCCUUACACCUACAGGAUUGGAGGUUCAAAUCCCGCCUCUGCCC
Non-coding RNA from Pangasianodon gigas (Mekong giant catfish), 73 nucleotides. The record is from the annotation of a GenBank genome assembly. Lineage: Eukaryota; Metazoa; Chordata; Actinopteri; Siluriformes; Pangasiidae.